AACAUGCAGAGGUGUGGAGAUACCUGCUAAAACAUACAGAGGUGUGGAGAUACCUGCUAAAACAUGCAGAGGUGUGGAGAUACCUGCUAAAACAUGCAGAGGUGUGGAGAUACCUGCUAAAACAUGCAGAGGUGUGGAGAUACCUGCUAAAACAUGCAGAGGUGUGGAGAUAUCUGCUAAAACAUGCAGAGGUGUGGAGAUACCUGUUAAAACAUGCAGAGGUGUGGAGAUACCUGCUAAAACAUGCAGAGGUGUGGAGAUACCUGCUAAAACAUGCAGAGGUGUGGAGAUAUCUGCUAAAACACGCAGAGGUGUGGAGAUACCUGCUAAAACAUGCAGAGGUGUGGAGAUACCUGCUAAAACAUGCAGAGGUGUGGAGAUACCUGCUAAAACAUGUAGAGGUGUGGAGAUACCUGUUAAAACAUGUAGAGGUGUGGAGAUACCUGCUAAAACAUGCAGAGGUGUGGAGAUACCUGCUAAAACAUGUAGAGG
This is a long non-coding RNA of Oncorhynchus keta (chum salmon), 492 nucleotides long. RefSeq lists it as uncharacterized. The transcript has 3 exons. Lineage: Eukaryota; Metazoa; Chordata; Actinopteri; Salmoniformes; Salmonidae. The record is from RefSeq and is a predicted model, not a curated record.